Molecule: ribosomal RNA, 384 nt
Filed under: uncultured bacterium
Lineage: Bacteria
Description: bacterial SSU rRNA
Rfam family: Bacterial small subunit ribosomal RNA
Source: RNAcentral
GACGAACGCUGGCGGCGUGCUUAACACAUGCAAGUCGAGCGGUAAGGCCCUUCGGGGUACGACGAGCGGCGAACGGGUGAGUAACACGUGGGUGACCUGCCUCUAGCUCUGGGAUAAGCCUGGGAAACUGGGUCUAAUACCGGAUAUGACUCCACGGCGCAUGUUGUGGGGUGGAAAGCCUUGUGUGGCUAGAGAUGGGCCCGCGGCCUAUCAGCUUGUUGGUGGGGUGAUGGCCUACCAAGGCGACGACGGGUAGCCGGCCUGAGAGGGCGACCGGCCACACUGGGACUGAGACACGGCCCAGACUCCUACGGGAGGCAGCAGUGGAGAAUCUUGCGCAAUGGGCGAAAGCCUGACGCAGCGACGCCGCGUGAGGGAUGACGG